AUGACAGAAGAAGGGCCAGGUGCUGCCACCCACUGCUGUGAGGCUGGUGUUCCCUGUCCCUUAGAGAGGGUGAGCUGGGCUCAUGGGGAUACAGAGGCCGCUGCACUCUCCCUGUGGGUGACCCUGGUGGAAACCUGGGAGCUGAGGGUAUGGACAGCAAGCAUGGAGACCGCACCUAACACCCCUGAUAAAAACACCCUUCAUGUGCUGAGCAAUGACCCGGAAGUGAGAGUGAUGCAUUUGAGGCACCAGAAAUGCUCGCUGCAGUGCAGAUGUCAGGACCUGAGUUCAGAAAGCAGACCCCUAAAGGAGCUUCUGGGGUCCACGGCUUCUGGUCCACGUGCCCUCGGCUUGGAGAUUUUUCUGCAGGUGGCCUCAGGCCACACGUCAGAAAACAGACUCAGACCAUCAGCACUGAAAGAACUGAUGGAGCUCGGCCAGCCCAGUGUUUGCAGCCAUGCGGAUGAGACCCCCGCUGCUCGACUCUGGGAGAGGAGCGCUUUUGGCUGCCUGUGACAGACUGUCCCUGAAGUGCCAAAAUUGCGUAAGAGCUGAGGACAAAACCCAAAGAGGGUCGCUCCCCGAGUCACCCAACAUUCAGGCUUCACAUGCACGGGGGAAAAGUGUGGAAUCUUCUCAACGUGGUGCAGAGGUGUCAGCAAACUCAGAAUGUCCACGUCACAGCGAGGUUGUCUUUUAUUCCACUUUGCUGCCAAGGAUUUCAGCGGAACAAAACCAACCAGGACUGCAAACAGCACAACCGAGCGGAAAAGACUCAGUUAUCUUUAGCUUUCUUCAAGUGCUGUUUGGCAAGCUGCCGUUUUUGGAUUAUGUAUUUUCCACAAUAAGUCAAUAGAUAUUCCACACAAAAAAAUAGAAGCAAAAUUAGUUUGAAUGUUUUGUCAAAUUAUGCUUGAGCAUAGCUGUAUACUCACCCUGGCUUGGCAAUUAAUGUAUUUAUUAGCAUAUUUAAGGCACAAACUUUAAAUAAAAAACCUGCUUUACUUAAAAGCAAUGUGGACCAUUGGAAACCACGCAUCAUGCUAUGGAUUGCUAUGUCUCUGCGAUCAGCAGAGAGCUCAUUCUGUGUGACUGAGGUUAUAUUCGAACACCCGGAUUUUCCAUAUCCUGAUUCAAUGUUUGGCGUCUCAAAGGGCGUGGAGGGCUGUAAUCCCAGCACUGUGGGAGGCCCAGGUGGGAGAAUGGCUUGAGCCCAGCCUGGGCAACACACUAAGAUCCCGUCUCUACAAAAAAUCAAAAAAAUCAGCGGGGCGUGGUGGCACAUGCCUGUGGUCCCAGCUACACAGGAGGCUGAGGUGAGAGGAUUGUUUGAUCCCGGGAGGCGAGGCUGCGAUGAGCCAUGUUUGCACUACUGCACUCCAGCCUGGGUAACAGAGGGAGACCCUAUCUAGAAAAAAAAAGAAAGAAAGAAAGAAAGAAAAGGAAAAGGACAGGGAUGGAGAAGCAGGGUGUAGCCUGUGCUGUUGAAGGGUCCAUUCCUCUGUCUGCCGUUCCUAAAGUCCACUAGAGAACAGCAUGCUAUUGUUUUUACACCACUUGGUAUUUAUUUCUGUGAUAACUGAAGAAUUUAGCCACACAAGCAUCAGCCGGGUCAGUGCCACCGGCAGUGACCAUUUUUGUAAGGCUUACAUGAUGUCCAGGAGCUUAAAUUGACCUUAAACCUCAAGAAUCUCCUGAUAAUCUGACUGCAGUUGGCCCACAAUCUUUUCGGCAUGUGAAAUGACUGGCCAGGCCUUUCAAGAUCCCCGAAGACUUCAGCCCAAACAAGCAGCGGCCCUCUUAGACGAGCAGCAGAGAUCAUCCCACCGCAGCCCUUUCCCCUAUUUGGUAAGACCCCUCUUCUUGUCAUUAUAUUGUCAGCACAAUUAUUCUGCGUGUUUUCUG
RNAcentral lists this long non-coding RNA (1905 nucleotides) under Callithrix jacchus (white-tufted-ear marmoset). RNAcentral describes it as "lncRNA (ENSCJAG00000080467.1)". Lineage: Eukaryota; Metazoa; Chordata; Mammalia; Primates; Cebidae. The record is from RNAcentral.